Molecule: long non-coding RNA, 2773 nt
Organism: Leopardus geoffroyi (Geoffroy's cat)
Lineage: Eukaryota; Metazoa; Chordata; Mammalia; Carnivora; Felidae
Exons: 2
Source: RefSeq, a predicted model, not a curated record
CACCUCUGCAUCGUAGGCGGGAGGCGUGCGGCCACGUCCGGGCCGUGCUCGGUGACGGGGUCAGGGCGCUCGGCCUCGCCCGGCGGAGGGGCCGGAGAGUGUCACCUCCCCCUGUAAUCUGCCCCCCCACACCGCUGGACCCGGCCGUGUGCCCGACUCAGGGCCGGGUGCUGGAGGGCCAGCACCGUACUCGGGCCGGCUCGCCCUGCUGGAGGGACACACACGGACCGGGGCCUGGCCGGGUGAGGGGUGCCACGCUGUGCGAGAGACACACGUGUGGCCUCGGGCCAUCAGCCUGGCCUGGGGGGGGGGCGGGGGGAAGAUAAGGCAUGAGGCCUGCAGGCAGGGGCAGCAGGAGAACUGGGCAGAAUAGUGACAGGCACACAGUAGGUGCUCAGUUAAUGCCUGAUGAGUAAGUGAAAUGAACCCUGUGAAGCAGGAGAACACUGAAACCCAGGGGAACGUCCUUCUAAGGUCACGGGUGCCCCCUAUUUGCCUGGCCCCAGAGCUGCGCCCCUCCCUGCCCGAGAGGCCAGGCCGGCACCCCCGGGCCUGCCCACAGAGCGAGGAUGGGGCACACAGCUUGAACCUCUCCAUGCGUCGAGGCCCCGGGGCUCGUGCCCGGGAGCCCGCUCUGUCCUCUGUUUUGCUGGCGAGCCAAGCGGGACAGGAACGGCCAAUUCCCUGAAUUCCUGCCCAAACCCGGGGGGCGGCUCCGGGCGGGCAGAGGAGCUCCCUGUGCGCCUGGCUGCUUCACGAGGCUUCCCUGCCAGGAGGCCCAUUUAGGAAACGGGUGGCAGGGAGGGGCUGCGGGGGCGUGAGGGGUGACGGCUGCCAGCCAAUGCCGGGGCCGCCAGCCGCUCCACCCCUCGGGCUCCCAGCGGCUGGGGGCGGGGGGAGGGUGGCACUCCCCGGCGGGGCUGAGCCUCUGGGUACCUGUGGGCCAAAACCACUCAGAAACCACAGGCCAAAUGAGUCCGCUUUGUAAAGUGCCCAGGGAGUGAGGGAGACACCGUGGUUUCUGUUCCAGCAUCCCGGCCCGGUGAGGCGCGAGGCAGCGACACCACGGGAGGGACGGGGAACGUGCCCCGAGCUGCCCCCCGGGUCUUCGGGCUUGCGCUGACCGUGGGCCGCGGGACAUGUGUUCGGGACACCCUCCGGUGUCUGACAGGUCUGCUGAUGCCCGAGGUGUCCUCCCCCAGCCCCAGGACAGCGACAAAGGCACCAAGCAUGUCCCGGCAGGGAGGAAAGAGGCCAGGAGGGGCGACAGGGCCCAGCCGCCAAGACUGACGCACAGGGGACCGACCUCUUGGCCGCGGCAGUGUUCCUGCCGCAGUCUGGGUGCCCCCUCCCGGGGGUCAGGCUGGGUCUCCCCUCCCUGGGCCCCAGUGUCCACAUAGCACCUGCUGGCCCUGCCCUGGAGGCGGCAGACCCCGGGCUGGGUACCCCCUGCACCGCCUCCCCUCCCCGUCAUCUGGGAACCGGGCCCCCGGACCGCCCUGGGGGAGACGACGCCGGCCCACCCAGCACGCCCGGGGCACACGAAUCUAAUUUCUUUUCAGUGUGGCCCUUUCACGUGCAGUCGGGUAUGAUGCCGUCUCCUCCCUGCACCCCACCAUGAAGCGGGUGCCGUCACCCCAUUCUGCGGGUGAGGACGCCGAGGCCGCAGGAGAAGGGAUCGGCCAGGACCACAGCCGGAGCUGUGGGUUUUACUUCUUAUUCCUGGGCCAGCAGCGAACCAGGUACGGGGAGACAGGCCCUGGUGCGGCCCGAGGUCGGAUGGACCCCCCUGUGGCCUGUGCCUCCCCGGGCGUCUCUCCCCUUUCCAAGCUGGGGUCCUGGGAGGAUUCGGGAGGGCUGUCCACGGAGCAGCGGCUACCUUCCCACAGUCUUCUGGGUCAGGGAGAGCACCUCCACCGGCUAGGGGACCCCUCUUCUGCAUCCAUCCCCCUGGUGAGAUGCCCACCACCCCGGGGCUCAGCCCCUCACCCGAGGGACACGCCUGGCCUGGCGUCCAGGGGUCAAGCAUGUGGCUCACCAGUCUGAAGCCCAGACAUCCUCUGAGAGCCUCAGGCUUGCCUCCCGAAAGGGAGGGGUGACUCACCCACCUGGAGAGCUAGCUCGGGGGACACACGUGUGACAUGUGCUCGGCACACAGCAGGCCAGCACCGUCCUCCUUAGCAGGGUCCUCCCUCUCCCCCACCUCCCGGGACAACCAGUACUCCCCGCCUUCCCCCCCCCCACCCCCCCCCCCCGCUCCAGGCCGCCUGGUAUGGGGUCCUCGUCCCGCUCAGGAGGUCUCAGAGCCCCGUGUCCACACCAAGGCGCUGUCGUUGGGCUCCCGGCGGCCUUCUUGGCGGGCGCCUCUGUGCCACGUGCUGGGCUCUGGGCCCCACCUCCAGUGCAAUCCGCCUGGCCGUCGUGCAACCCCAGGCAGGAAGCAGCACCUUCAGGAAGGUUCGAGUGACCCUCCUGGGCCGGGAGCCCUGCCGUCCAGCUGUGGCCACGCUCGGGCGCGUCCGGGCCACCGGCCGGCCGGUCCGCUGCAGGACCCACGUAAUCUGCCCAAAGCAGCACGGCUAGUUAGAAGUUUUAUUGAUUGAACACGAUCGAGUGGAAAUAGUGAAAGUUCUCCCGAUGUAACCCACUUUUUCUUAAUGGGUAAUCUCAGACACUCGAGUUUGUAUGUUAAAGGAGCUUUAGGACAAUUUAAUAGCUCAUAAAAUUUUAUAGUCCCAGUUGAAAUCAGAGUGAUAACUCUGGCCUGCACAGC